Molecule: ribosomal RNA, 1579 nt
Filed under: Klebsiella pneumoniae
Lineage: Bacteria; Pseudomonadati; Pseudomonadota; Gammaproteobacteria; Enterobacterales; Enterobacteriaceae
Description: partial 23S ribosomal RNA
Rfam family: Bacterial large subunit ribosomal RNA
Source: RNAcentral
GAAUGCUGACAUAAGUAACGAUAAAGCGGGUGAAAAGCCCGCUCGCCGGAAGACCAAGGGUUCCUGUCCAACGUUAAUCGGGGCAGGGUGAGUCGACCCCUAAGGCGAGGCCGAAAGGCGUAGUCGAUGGGAAACAGGUUAAUAUUCCUGUACUUGGUGUUACUGCGAAGGGGGGACGGAGAAGGCUAUGUUAGCCGGGCGACGGUUGUCCCGGUUUAAGCAUGUAGGCUGGUUAUCCAGGCAAAUCCGGAUAAUCAAGGCUGAGGUGUGAUGACGAGGCACUACGGUGCUGAAGUAACAAAUGCCCUGCUUCCAGGAAAAGCCUCUAAGCAUCAGGUAACAUCAAAUCGUACCCCAAACCGACACAGGUGGUCAGGUAGAGAAUACCAAGGCGCUUGAGAGAACUCGGGUGAAGGAACUAGGCAAAAUGGUGCCGUAACUUCGGGAGAAGGCACGCUGGUGUGUAGGUGAAGUCCCUGCGGAUGGAGCUGAGACCAGUCGAAGAUACCAGCUGGCUGCAACUGUUUAUUAAAAACACAGCACUGUGCAAACACGAAAGUGGACGUAUACGGUGUGACGCCUGCCCGGUGCCGGAAGGUUAAUUGAUGGGGUUAUCCGUAAGGAGAAGCUCUUGAUCGAAGCCCCGGUAAACGGCGGCCGUAACUAUAACGGUCCUAAGGUAGCGAAAUUCCUUGUCGGGUAAGUUCCGACCUGCACGAAUGGCGUAAUGAUGGCCAGGCUGUCUCCACCCGAGACUCAGUGAAAUUGAACUCGCUGUGAAGAUGCAGUGUACCCGCGGCAAGACGGAAAGACCCCGUGAACCUUUACUAUAGCUUGACACUGAACAUUGAGCCUUGAUGUGUAGGAUAGGUGGGAGGCUUUGAAGCGUGGACGCCAGUCUGCGUGGAGCCAACCUUGAAAUACCACCCUUUAAUGUUUGAUGUUCUAACGUUGGCCCCUGACCGGGGUUGCGGACAGUGUCUGGUGGGUAGUUUGACUGGGGCGGUCUCCUCCCAAAGCGUAACGGAGGAGCACGAAGGUUAGCUAAUCCUGGUCGGACAUCAGGAGGUUAGUGCAAUGGCAUAAGCUAGCUUGACUGCGAGCGUGACGGCGCGAGCAGGUGCGAAAGCAGGUCAUAGUGAUCCGGUGGUUCUGAAUGGAAGGGCCAUCGCUCAACGGAUAAAAGGUACUCCGGGGAUAACAGGCUGAUACCGCCCAAGAGUUCAUAUCGACGGCGGUGUUUGGCACCUCGAUGUCGGCUCAUCACAUCCUGGGGCUGAAGUAGGUCCCAAGGGUAUGGCUGUUCGCCAUUUAAAGUGGUACGCGAGCUGGGUUUAGAACGUCGUGAGACAGUUCGGUCCCUAUCUGCCGUGGGCGCUGGAGAAUUGAGGGGGGCUGCUCCUAGUACGAGAGGACCGGAGUGGACGCAUCACUGGUGUUCGGGUUGUCAUGCCAAUGGCACUGCCCGGUAGCUAAAUGCGGAAGAGAUAAGUGCUGAAAGCAUCUAAGCACGAAACUUGCCCCGAGAUGAGUUCUCCCUGAGACUUUAAGUCUCCUGAAGGAACGUUAAAGACGAUGA